Macaca mulatta (Rhesus monkey) is the source of this 2830-nucleotide non-coding RNA. The record is from RefSeq and is a predicted model, not a curated record. Lineage: Eukaryota; Metazoa; Chordata; Mammalia; Primates; Cercopithecidae.
CUCAAAUAAUAAUAAUAAUGGGAAAAUUACUAAUACUACAUACCUUAUUGGUUGUGAGGAUUAAAACUAGUGGCAUUCAAAAGGUAUUCAUUUCACAUAAAAGAUUCCACUACCAGCAAAAUGAAUGGCAUAAGGCAGGUACUUGAUAAAUGUUUUUAUUCAUUUAUUUUGACUUUUUUAUGAAUGGAGAGAUUAAUGAAUUCACACUGAAGCACCUUAGGUUUGAACAGUAAGUCAGUGAGUGCUGUGCUCACCUGAUGCCAGUGUGCAGCAUGGUUCAGAGCACAGACUCUGGUGCCAGCCUCCCGCGGGAAAUCCUAGGUCUUCCCAGCUCCCUGUGAGCAGUCUGUGCCUCAGUUGCCUCAUCUGUUCAGUGUGGCUGGUGUUAGGAGCCCUCCUCCUGUGGGUGGAGAGAGGAUGGAUGGAGUCAUGUGCAUCACGCGUAUGUUUCUGAUGUUUUCUGGGACGUAGGAACCAAUGCUGCCCCCUCCUUCCGUCUUCGUGGCUCCUCCCUUCAUAAUGGAAGCUGCCGAAGUCCAGCUGCUGUUUGCGCAUGUGCAGACCCAGGAUCCUCUGAGACGAAGCAGCAAGGUUCAGCGGGAACCCUGCAGGUGGCUGGGCUCACCGGAAGGGAGCAAGGGUCUCAUCUGUCUUAGUAGUAGCUUGAGACUGGCCCCUGCAUCUCCAUGGCAGGAAUUUAGAAGCUGUGUGAGGACAAUGGAGAGAAGGGACUAGACCCAAACUCUUCACUCAACAGGGGGCAGGCUGGGAUGUUCUGGACCACAUGCUCAGAGUCAGCAGUCAGGCCGGAUGGAACAAGAGGUCGGUGGCUGGACUACAUGGCCGUCUCUUGGGCUAUUUGGCCUUCAUUCCGCCUGGGAGGAUGACGGGGCAGGUCCCUGGACAGAGCGGCUUCUGGGCUUCUGGACAAUCUCAGGCUGCUCUGUGGCCGCUGGAAAUGAAAGGGUCUUGCCAGUCAUGUUUUGCCUUCCUGCUAAAGUGGAGAGUUGUCCUGUCCAUCCUCAAGGCCCCCGAUGUUGGCUGGAAUUUACCAUAUACUCUUGUAGCUUCAUUUAUUACCACUCACUUCUGCGAGGCUGGAACAGACCUCAUCGUGUUUGUCAUAUGAGUGCUCAGGGUUUCCAUCACGCUGCAGUCCAGGGGGUGCCAUGAAUAUCUGCUGAGUGUUGCUGUCACAGAGAGAGGGGAGCUGGUUGUGACCGCCCAGCCACCAGUGUUUUUGUGGGUUUCUGGCAGGGCCGGUGGGACCACACUGCAAGUGAAACUUCUGUUAAUAAUAUCUCAGUGCUUUAUUAACUAAAUUCCUAAGAUAAGGUCCAGAAAGACCCGUGUUAGACAGAAAUUAGCACCGCGUUGCCUAGGAUUCCCAAGAACAGCGAGUGUGCUGUCAGGACUGAACCACCUCGCACCUGCCUUUGUGUAGCAUGAACACCUGAAUGCGUUGAAUGCUUUUGAAUGAGUUACCGUUUCUUCACUCUUGGAACUUUGCAUCUCUUUGCCAUUUUUGUUUCCUGUUCACAGACCCUGUCUGAUUCUCCCAUGCCUUUCCAAAGUUUGGAUUGUUAGCACUAGAAUGAUUAUUUCUUGGUAAAUUCUUUUAUUCUUAAUUUCUUAAAUUCUUUUAGCAUAAAUGCACAUACAUAAAUUAUGUUAGAGUUUACGCUUUUUUGUUUUACAAUAGUGUUUUAUUUACAAAGUCACCUCUGAGCUGAGAUAUAAUCUGACCUCCUGGGGUUUUGUAUGUUUAUCCCAUUAUUCACAUUCUGUGUCCUUAGCUUUUUGCAGAUUUUCAAGUGGGCCACCUCUCCUUGUCCUUAUUGCGUGUCAGCUUGUUUUUGACAAGUCAUUUUUCUGAUCUUAGAAAGAGUCUUUGACAUCUCAGCCACUGUGCCGAGAAGGCAAUGUCCCUUCUCCCCUCCUCCUUAUGUUCCCCGCAAAUUUAAUGAGAUGGUCUUCGAUUUCCUCGCUUCAGCUGCGGGUGGACGUGUGAAGCGGCCCAUGCUCCAGGCCUGAUCCCUUUGGAGGGACCCCCAUGGAGCACCUGCCUGGAAUGAACUGUGACUUUGACUUCCCCUUCUGGCCUCUUGGGCCACUAAGAUUUCUGCUAGGCUCCUUUUCCUUGCAGGCUAACCCCAAGGGCCUGUGACGUCAGAACUCCAUCCCCAGUGCCGUGCCAAGGUGAGUCUGCUUCUGCUGGGGUUAUUACCAGAUGAAACCUCAGGGAGGAAGGCCAGGUACUUCCUGAACAUCAUGGAACACGAGGCCCAGGUGACUCAGCGAGGUCAGAGUCUGCUGUGGUGGCGGCAGUAGGCAGGUGGGAGCCUGGAGGGAGGUGGGGCGUUAAUGACUGCCUGCCUGCUCCCGGACCCGCCUACCUCUCUGCUCUACCAUGCCUGUGAUUUCAUCAUGCACACCUUUGUAAACAAUCCAUUUAGCAACGAAAUUAUACGCUGGGUAAUUACAGCUUCCAGCCUCAUGUCAGGAGUCCCCCGCUCAACAGCGUGCUCCUGGUGAUACUGCAGCCCGGAACGGGGACUGGCUUUGCUAACGUCCUGACGAGACAUCGGGGAGAGACGGGAUGUGGCAGGCAUAUCAUUUUGCCAGGAGAAUUAGCAGUGCCAUCUUCCUGUCACAACUAAUUGACCAUACCAGCUCCUUAUUCAAGGUAAAUUGCAUCAUUCAGAGUGCCCACAACUACCAUCAUAAUCUGAGGGGUCACCACCUAUUUGGAUUGUGCCCAGCAGUGUUUUACAAUGACCUGUGAUUCUGUAUGGUAUCUUACUCUGCUGCCCAGGCUGGAGUACAGUGG